UGAAUCUCUCUGUUUGCCAGGCGAUCCCAGUCGAUGCGUCGGAAGAAGGCCUGCUCCCUGAUGUCCCUCUCGCCCUCUAAGCCACAGCCGAGACGCUUUGACGGGUGCUUGGUCAUCAGCUGGUAUUAAACAGAAGAGGAGGCAUUAGAAGAUGGACACAGCUUCUUUAGACAUGGACUUGGGGUAGGACACAUUGUGUUCCAUGAUGGACUGGAAGAGCUCGUCUUCAUCCUCGCCAUCAAAUGGAGGCUGAGAAGAAAGACAAACACAGUGUCACAGCUUGAGGGUUAUUCUUUGAAACCUGACAAGAUACUGAAGUGACAAGAGCAGCAUGUUAAGCCCCCCCUCCCGAAAAAUGUCUGCUCUGAUUGGUCAGCUUUUCAGGGUCAUUUUCAUAUGCGCUCUGCAAGUCUCUGCACGUCAUUGCAGCCGGGGAAUUCAAUUCAAUUCAGU
This is a long non-coding RNA of Perca fluviatilis (European perch), 453 nucleotides long. RefSeq lists it as uncharacterized. The transcript has 3 exons. NCBI's taxonomy places the organism in Eukaryota, Metazoa, Chordata, Actinopteri, Perciformes, Percidae. The record is from RefSeq and is a predicted model, not a curated record.